AGGGAAGCUUCCACAAUGGACGAAAGUCUGAUGGAGCAACGCCGCGUGAGUGAUGAAGGUUUUCGGAUCGUAAAACUCUGUUGUAAGGGAAGAACCAGUACGUCAGGCAAUGGACGUACCUUGACGGUACCUUAUUAGAAAGCCACGGCUAACUACGUGCCAGCAGCCGCGGUAAUACGUAGGUGGCAAGCGUUGUCCGGAAUUAUUGGGCGUAAAGCGCGCGCAGGUGGUUUCUUAAGUCUGAUGUGAAAGCCCACGGCUUAACGGGGAGGGUCAUAGGAAACUGGGAGACUUGGGUGCGGAAGAGGAAAGUGGAAUUCCAAGUGUAGCGGUGAAAUGCGUAGGGAUUUGGAGGAACACUAGUGGCGAAGCCGACUUUCUGGUCGGCAACUGACGCUGAGGCGCGAAAGCGUGGGGAGCAAACA
RNAcentral lists this ribosomal RNA (425 nucleotides) under uncultured Caryophanaceae bacterium. RNAcentral's name for it is "bacterial SSU rRNA". It matches the Rfam family "Bacterial small subunit ribosomal RNA", at positions 356 to 774 of the family's 1533-position model. The record is from RNAcentral. Lineage: Bacteria; Bacillati; Bacillota; Bacilli; Caryophanales; Caryophanaceae.